CUCGCAAUCCUCCUGCCUCAGCCUCCAAAACAGCUGGGAUUACAAGGGCGCACCACGACGCCCGGCCAUAGAUAUGGACGCUGGGAGGAGAGACAGCCUGAGUUCCCCCAGCCACUUAGCCCUGGAGUAGCCUGGGGCAGGGAAUCUUAGUGAUCUUAUCUGUAAAUGGAGAUGAAAGAAAUGUUGUAGGGCCAGGGCCUAGUGGAACUUCACACACUCACAUUGGUGUGCAAACAUCACCUCUAUCUAGUUCCAGAACAUUUUCACACCCCAAAAGGAAACCCCUACCCACUAGGUGUUCACUCCCAUUGUUGGAUAUGGAAAAAGACAAACCCCAAAUAAUAUGGCCCAGGGGGCUGGGGUUGUGGCUCCGUGGUAGAGCGCUUGCCUAGCGCGUGAGGCACCGGGUGUUAGGAAAGGGACCGAAUCUCCCGGAGGGACACGGAGGCUAAGCAGGUGCAAGUUUAUUGUCAGGAAACCUGACAAGGCUGCCCCUGCGCAGAGACCAGCGGCAGACUCCCUCGGAGGUUAACUCUCAUUGUCAGAGCCUGG
This 552-nucleotide long non-coding RNA is filed under the name Marmota monax (woodchuck). The record is from RNAcentral. Lineage: Eukaryota; Metazoa; Chordata; Mammalia; Rodentia; Sciuridae.